RNAcentral lists this transfer RNA (73 nucleotides) under Candidatus Levyibacteriota bacterium. Its description in RNAcentral is "Candidatus Levybacteria bacterium tRNA-His". It matches the Rfam family "tRNA". Rfam says of the family: Transfer RNA (tRNA) molecules are approximately 80 nucleotides in length. Lineage: Bacteria; Candidatus Levyibacteriota. The record is from RNAcentral.
GUGGUUGUAGCUCAGUGGUAGAGCACUAGCUUGUGGAGCUAGUCGUCGCGGGUUCGAAUCCCGUCAGCCACCC